RNAcentral lists this ribosomal RNA (414 nucleotides) under uncultured microorganism. RNAcentral describes it as "bacterial SSU rRNA". It matches the Rfam family "Bacterial small subunit ribosomal RNA", at positions 9 to 420 of the family's 1533-position model. The record is from RNAcentral.
GAGUUUGAUCGUGGCUCAGAUUGAACGCUGGCGGCAUGCCUUACACAUGCAAGUCGAACGGCAGCAUGAUCUAGCUUGCUAGAUUGAUGGCGAGUGGCGAACGGGUGAGUAGUACAUCGGAACGUGCCCUGUAGUGGGGGAUAACUAGUCGAAAGAUUAGCUAAUACCGCAUACGACCUGAGGGUGAAAGUGGGGGACCGCAAGGCCUCAUGCUAUAGGAGCGGCCGAUGUCUGAUUAGCUAGUUGGUGGGUAAAGGCCCACCAAGGCGACGAUCAGUAGCUGGUCUGAGAGGACGAUCAGCCACACUGGGACUGAGACACGGCCCAGACUCCUACGGGAGGCAGCAGUGGGGAAUUUUGGACAAUGGGCGAAAGCCUGAUCCAGCAAUGCCGCGUGUGUGAAGAAGGCCUCGG